Molecule: ribosomal RNA, 742 nt
Filed under: Acetomicrobium sp. enrichment culture
Lineage: Bacteria; Thermotogati; Synergistota; Synergistia; Synergistales; Acetomicrobiaceae
Description: bacterial SSU rRNA
Rfam family: Bacterial small subunit ribosomal RNA
Source: RNAcentral
GACGAACGCUGGCGGCAUGCCUAACACAUGCAAGUCGAACGGAGAUGUUCAGGAAGUUUACUUCUCGAGCAUCUUAGUGGCGGACGGGUGAGUAACACGUGGGUAAUCUGCCUAUCACAUUGGGAUAACAGGGUGAAAACGCUGCUAAUACCGAAUAAGCCGACGGAGGUGGGAGCCUCUGCCGGAAAAGGAGCAAUCCGGUGAUAGAUGAGCCCGCGGCUGAUUAGCUAGUUGGUGAGGUAACGGCCCACCAAGGCGACGAUCAGUAGCCGGCCUGAGAGGGUGAACGGCCACACUGGAACUGAGAAACGGUCCAGACUCCUACGGGAGGCAGCAGUGGGGAAUCUUCCGCAAUGGGCGAAAGCCUGACGGAGCAAUGCCGCGUGAGUGACGAAGGCCUUCGGGUUGUAAAGCUCUGUCUUCAGGGACGAAAAAAAUGACGGUACCUGAGGAGGAAGCCACGGCUAACUACGUGCCAGCAGCCGCGGUAAUACGUAGGUGGCAAGCGUUGUCCGGAAUUACUGGGCGUAAAGGGCGUGUAGGUAGACUGAUCAGUCGGAUGUGAAAUAUCCAGGCUUAACCUGGGGGCUGCAUUCGAUACGGUCAGUCUUGAGUGCAGGAGAGGGCAGUGGAAUUCCCAGUGUAGCGGUGAAAUGCGUAGAUAUUGGGAGGAACACCAGUGGCGAAGGCGGCUGCCUGGACUGUAACUGACACUGAGGCGCGAAAGCGUGGGGAGCAAACA